UGGGGAAUAUUGGACAAUGGGCGCAAGCCUGAUCCAGCCAUGCCGCGUGAGUGAUGAAGGCCCUAGGGUUGUAAAGCUCUUUCACCGGUGAAGAUAAUGACGGUAACCGGAGAAGAAGCCCCGGCUAACUUCGUGCCAGCAGCCGCGGUAAUACGAAGGGGGCUAGCGUUGUUCGGAUUUACUGGGCGUAAAGCGCACGUAGGCGGACUUUUAAGUCAGGGGUGAAAUCCCGGGGCUCAACCCCGGAACUGCCUUUGAUACUGGAAGUAUUGAGUAUGGUAGAGGUGAGUGGAAUUCCGAGUGUAGAGGUGAAAUUCGUAGAUAUUCGGAGGAAAACCAGUGGCGAAGGCGGCUCACUGGACCAUUACUGACGCUGAGGUGCGAAAGCGUGGGGAGCAAAAAGG
RNAcentral lists this ribosomal RNA (404 nucleotides) under Actinomycetes bacterium. RNAcentral's name for it is "Actinobacteria bacterium partial 16S ribosomal RNA". It matches the Rfam family "Bacterial small subunit ribosomal RNA", at positions 355 to 776 of the family's 1533-position model. The record is from RNAcentral. Lineage: Bacteria; Bacillati; Actinomycetota; Actinomycetes.